AUUCAACAAUAUGUGAUGUGUGAAUAAAGCAACCCAAUUUAAAAAGCAAUACAACAAAUUCCUCCAUCUUCUUAGAAAUUGAUAAAUUUGUCAAAAUGAUAGGUUUCCAAAUUCUAACUCCCGAUCAGUUUUGAGUAUGUCGUCAAUAUUUAAUUUUUAUGUUGUUAAUAUAAAUUAAUUUGUAAUCACCAUUUAAUUUUGAUCAGUUCUACAAUUAUAAUUUAAUUUCUAAUUAUUUUAAUCAAUUUUCGAAAAAAAUAAAAUCUAUGGAAAAGGGUAAUUC
This 283-nucleotide long non-coding RNA is filed under the name Malus domestica (apple). Its description in RNAcentral is "long non-coding RNA (MDOM_LNC009062)". Lineage: Eukaryota; Viridiplantae; Streptophyta; Magnoliopsida; Rosales; Rosaceae. The record is from RNAcentral.